UACGUAGGGUGCAAGCGUUAAUCGGAAUUACUGGGCGUAAAGCGUGCGCAGGCGGUUUUGUAAGACUGUCGUGAAAUCCCCGGGCUUAACCUGGGAAUGGCAUUUGGGACUGCAAGGCUGGAGUGCGGCAGAGGAGACUGGAAUUCCUGGUGUAGCAGUGAAAUGCGUAGAUAUCAGGAGGAACACCGAUGGCGAAGGCAGGUCUCUGGGCUGACACUGACGCUCAUGCACGAAAGCGUGGGGAGCAAACAGG
This 253-nucleotide ribosomal RNA is filed under the name uncultured bacterium. Its description in RNAcentral is "partial 16S ribosomal RNA". It matches the Rfam family "Bacterial small subunit ribosomal RNA", at positions 524 to 776 of the family's 1533-position model. The record is from RNAcentral.